This 496-nucleotide ribosomal RNA is filed under the name uncultured bacterium. RNAcentral describes it as "partial 16S ribosomal RNA". It matches the Rfam family "Bacterial small subunit ribosomal RNA", at positions 28 to 506 of the family's 1533-position model. The record is from RNAcentral.
GAUGAACGCUGGCGGCGUGCCUAAUACAUGCAAGUCGAGCGAACGGACGAGAAGCUUGCUUCUCUGAUGUUAGCGGCGGACGGGUGAGUAACACGUGGAUAACCUACCUAUAAGACUGGGAUAACUUCGGGAAACCGGAGCUAAUACCGGAUAAUAUUUUGAACCGCAUGGUUCAAAAGUGAAAGACGGUCUUGCUGUCACUUAUAGAUGGAUCCGCGCUGCAUUAGCUAGUUGGUAAGGUAACGGCUUACCAAGGCAACGAUGCAUAGCCGACCUGAGAGGGUGAUCGGCCACACUGGAACUGAGACACGGUCCAGACUCCUACGGGAGGCAGCAGUAGGGAAUCUUCCGCAGUGGGCGAAAGCCUGACGGAGCAACGCCGCGUGAGUGAUGAAGGUCUUCGGAUCGUAAAACUCUGUUAUUAGGGAAGAACAUAUGUGUAAGUAACUGUGCACAUCUUGACGGUACCUAAGCAGAAAGCCACGGCUAACUACGU